Oncorhynchus tshawytscha (Chinook salmon) is the source of this 1170-nucleotide long non-coding RNA. The record is from Ensembl. Lineage: Eukaryota; Metazoa; Chordata; Actinopteri; Salmoniformes; Salmonidae.
GGCGGAGGGAAAACCAGAUUAGUAUUGAUACAUUAGAGAGGAGGAGGAGGGAGAACCAUUCUAGUAUAGAUAUAUUAGAGAGGAGGAGGAGGGAGAACCACUAUAGUACAGCUACAUUAGAGAGGAGGAUGAGGGAGAACCAGUCUAGUACAGCUACAUUAGAGAGGAGGAGCAGGAGGGAGAACCAGUCCAGUACAGCUACAUUAGCAAGGAGGAGGAGUAGGAGGAGGAGGGACAACCAGUCUACUAUAGCUACAUUAGAAAGGCGGAGGAGGGAGAACCAGUCUAGUAUAGCUACAUUAGAGAGGAGAGGGGAGAACCAGUCUAGUAUAGCUAUAUUAGAGAGGAGGAGGAGGGAGAACCAGUCUAGUAUAGCUACAUUAGAGAGGAGGAGGAAGGAAAACCAGUAUAGUAUAGAUACCUUAGAGAGAAGGAGAAUGGAGAACCAGUAUAGUAUAGAUACAUUAGAGAGGAGGAGGGAGAACCAGUCUAGUAUAGCUACAUUAGAGAGGAGGAGGGACAACCAGUCUAGUAUAAAUACAUUAGAGAGGAGGAGGAGGGAGAACCACUAUAGUACAGCUACAUUAGAGAGGAGGAUGAGGGAGAACCAGUCUAGUACAGCUACAUUAGAGAGGAGGAGCAGGAGGGAGAACCAGUCUAGUACAGCUACAUUAGAGAGGAGGAGGAGGGAGAAGCAGUCAAGCAUAGAUACAUUAGAGAGGAGGAGGAGGAGGGAGAAGCACUAUAGUACAGCUACAUUAGAGAGGAGGAGGAGGGAGAACCAGUCUAGUACAGCUACAUUAGAGAGGAGGAGGAGGGAGAACCAGUCAAGCAUAGAUACAUUAGAGAGGAGGAGGAGGGAGAACCAGUGGAGUACAGCCACAUUAGAGAGGAGGAGGAAUAACCAGUCUAGUACAGCUACAUGAGAGAGGAGGAGGAUGGAGAAUAAGUAUAGUACAGCUACAUAAGAGAGGAGGAGGGAGAACCAGUCUAGUAUAGAUACAUUAGAGAGUAGGAGGAGGGAGAACCAGUCUACUACAGCUACAUUAGAGAGGAGGAAGAGGGAGAACAGGUCUAGUAUAGCUACAUUAGAGAGGAGGAGGAGGGACAACCAGUCUAGUAUAGAUACCUUAGAAAGGAGGAGAAGGGAGAACCAGUCCAGUACAGCUA